Long non-coding RNA from Scylla paramamosain (green mud crab), 3122 nucleotides. RefSeq lists it as uncharacterized. Lineage: Eukaryota; Metazoa; Arthropoda; Malacostraca; Decapoda; Portunidae. The transcript is spliced from 3 exons. The record is from RefSeq and is a predicted model, not a curated record.
UGGGGGACUUCCCAUUUUUCAGUGUGUGUGUCGUGGUGGCGAGGAGCGGUGGUGUAGCUUCCUUUGGCUGCUGGUCCUCCUGCUCCUCCUUUCUUUUCCCCCUUUAGUCUUUUUUAACGCUUGUCCUCGUGUCCCUCUUCCUCCUCGUUGCCUUUCCAUCGUUAUCGUUAUCAUCAUCCUCGUCCUCUCCGCUGGCUUUGUGUUCCUCACCUUACAUCUGCAGAUGGGGCUCACCCUGCUCUUCCUUUUUCUGCUGCUUCAACGCUUCUCGAUUUUAAUUUUCUUUCUCCUCGUUCUCAUCUUUUAUCUUGUCCUCCACCACUUCUCUCCACACGAACAAGGACACACACACGCCACACUGUCACUGUCGAUCCGGUGUCAUUGCAACGUCUUGUUCAGGAAACCGGAACAAGGAGACAUGAAAGUUGGCAGUGCGUGUGGCUGUGGUGAGCGGCGGCGGCGGCGGCGGCGGCGGCGACGACGACGACGACGACGACGACGUGUGGCGUGGCGAGCGGGUUUCUGCAGUAUCCCUCUCCUUCCCGUUUUCUGUUCUUCCCCUUUCUCUUCUUCCGCCUAGUGUACUGCUACUCGCUCUUGUACGGUGACUUUUUUUUUCCUUCGUUGCAAUAUUUUGUCGUCUGUUUUCUCUUUUCUUUUCUUCUCGUGCUUUUUAUUCACAUUAUUAUUUCUUAUUCUAUUUUGUUUAUUUUGUGUGUUUGUACGUGUGUAUUUUCCUCUUCCACAUUUUAUUUGGAUUUUCUUAAUUUUUCUCGUAUUUUUCUAUUCUUCCUUGUAUCACACACACACACACACACACACACACACGCCGCGUAGUGUAGUGGUUGUUAGCACGCUCGGCUCACAACCAAGAAGGCCUGGGUUCGAAUCCCGGGAGCGACGAGGCAAAUGGGCGAGCCUCUUAAUGUGUAGUCCCUGUUCACCUAGCAGCAAGUAGGUACGGGAUGUAACCCGAGGGGUUGUGACCUCGCUGUUUUAUUAUUAAAUAGUUUGCAUAUUUAUUUAUCUACAUAUAUUAUUUGCAUAUUUAUUUAUCUACAUAUAUUAUUUUUAUUUUAUUAUUAUUAUUAUUAUUUAUUUUAUUUUAUUUAUUUAUUUAUUUUGUGUGUGUGUGUGUCGGGGAUGAGUUUUACAGCUCUCAUCGCAAGUUGUAUUAAAAUUCAAUAGCCACAUUUGCUCGCUCGUGUAUAUAUUGUUUAGUGUUAUCAGCGGUUCUUAAGAAACAGGAUUUUAAGAGAUUAUAAACUUUACGUGAUAUUAAGUUUUGUUUGGUUAACACUUGAUGCGCUUCAUCCUUCUCUCGCUCCUUGUUCGUGUUUCAUUCUCUUUCCUCAUGUAAACUGCUGUCCUCAUUCGUUUGUUCCCUUCUUUUAUGCACUUCAACCAUCCAGCCACAAUUUCUCGGUUGCCUCUGCACUUGUGUUGUCUUUUUCAUCUUGUAUUCUAAGGCAAUGGAACAGUCCGUUGAUUUCUGUUGCUAUUUUUAAAUUCUUGCACUAUAUACAUUUUUCAUAGAUUUUCCUGGAAACCAUGAUUUUAAGACCAAUUGAAAAGUGGGUGAGUGUUCGAAAGCACACACAAAAGUUCCUAAUUUCACCGUAAGUCACUGGAGGCAAACUUUAGAGAUUCAGUAAAUCUUUGUUAAUGUUGCUUUCUCCCCCUUUACAGAUUGCCUGUUCAUCUUUCCCUUCCUCAACGCUUUGUUAUUCUCGUCUUCCGCUUUUAUUCCUGCUUCACUUCUAGUUUCAAGAGACUCGGUUUGUGAGUCGUAUGCUUGCGUGCGUUGCAGUGGUGAGAGGAAAUGUGUGUGUGUGUGUGUGUGUGUGUGUUCUGGCUAGUGGACAGAAGACUUGUGUGUGGUGGGGUGGGGACAGUAUUUAGUGAAGGAAUGUGGUUGUGUGUGUGUGUGUGUGUGUGUGUGUGUUAGGAGGGUGGGAAUGGUGGUGGGUGACGGGGAGCGCGUCGUUGCAGUCUUAACAUUUUCUCUUGUUAUCCACGUCCUCUUUGUCAGCCUCCACCUUUUCUUGUCCCUGAGUUUUCUGCUUCCUUUUCUGCAUGAACUUACACAUAUCGUCGUCUCCUUUUACUUCUUCAUCCUUUUGCUUUUCAGUCGUGAUGGUCCUCGUCCAGCUCCUCGCCACCUCACCACACGCCACCACCUUCCCUGUUGAUGCUGCGUCAACUUUAUUGCAUCAACCCGACCUGAGCCGACUGCGGGAGUGACAAAUGGUUCCCUGGACGCCGUGUGUCACCGGAUUGCAGGCGAGCGUCAGGCGGACCAUGAGUCGGGACGCUGCCAAGUCCGUUGUCCAGAACCUGACCAGGAAAAUUUAAGAAGCGUGGCCUUGACCUUGCUCAGCAGUUGUGCCCUCACCUGACCUAUGUUAUGUUGCUCUGCGUUCAUUGUUUCUGGCAAAGUGAGUUAGUGCAGCCGUGCCUUCAGUGUGUCACCAUAAUUUGCAAGCAGUCGAUUUCCUGCUCUACUUUACCAGGUGGUAUUUGUUUUGAAAGAGAGUUGAGAAGUGGAUUAUGUCAUGCUCUCAACCUAAAUUUUAUACUUCUUUAUUCAUAACUGCAUCAACAGACCACCUGGGAAAAGUAAUGCUUUGUGCCUCUGUUUGUUUUCAUUUCACGACACGGUAGGAAGGGAGAGCACGUCCACGGAGCAAAGAAUUCAAGAGAUACCUCUUGGAAUUCUGGGAAAAUAGGAUGCGCAUUUCUGGUCGUCCUUCAGAGAAGCUAAUGUUAUGCAUGCGUAUGCCAUUUAAAUUCAGCGAAGAAAUUUGAGAAAUACUUUUGAAAAAUGUUUUAACGAACUCCUAUCGUUAAAUCUUCAUAAGAAACGUUUGCACCAUAAAGUAACGAAAUUUUGUGCCUCACAUCCAGCAUCAGAGACCAUAAGAGCACCAGCAAGGUGUAUUCGAGGAGCAGUGUUAAGAUGUGCAUAAACAAAGUAAAAUAUACGUAGUGCUGACAGGCAUCACAGAAAAGAAAACUUGUAAUAACAUUCCAAAGGAAAAAACUUUUAACCAGUACAGUGUUGCGCUUUGUCAGAGAUAGUGGUCUUGUCAGGCUGCAUUUCUUUUUCCUAUGCUUUUUAU